RNAcentral lists this ribosomal RNA (133 nucleotides) under uncultured bacterium. Its description in RNAcentral is "partial 16S ribosomal RNA". The record is from RNAcentral.
UACCGUCAAUUCCUGCCGGAUAUUAACCGACAAGCUUUCUUCCCACCUGACAGGAGUUUACAACCCGAAGGCCGUCAUCCUCCACGCGGCGUCGCUGGGUCAGGGGUUUCCCCCCAUUGCCCAAAAUUCCCCA